UCCCUUCCCUGUCAAUUUGUCAGUGUCUGAUAGAAAACACAUCAUUGUUUCAGGUUAGUGUUUUGGUUAUUUUUUAUUAUUUUUAUGUAUUCUGCUUAUAAAGUAAAGAGAAGGGAAGAAAGAAAUAGACAUGCUUUUCACUAAUUAUGUUGAGCUUCAAGCCAUUCUGAGUGAAGGUUUUUAUGCUGUAAUUUGUUCUCACCCCUGGGGUGUAUAGGCCUCUAUCUACAUUUCCUAAAUAUAAGCAGAUAGUAUUCAAAUCAUGAGAAAUCAGGCUUGUUAAUCCUGUAGUUCCUUUCAAAAGAGCUCUGUGCUGCUCAGGGAAUUUGGUGCUACUGCUGGUUCCUGCGCUUGGGGCUCUCCAGCCACUGCUUCUAAAUGGUGCUCUUCCUUCCAGGGGUGUGGAAAGUGUUGGAGAAUUUUGCUCAGACAUGGCUUGAAGGAAAAAAGGCCUUGAAAAUAUACAGCUGAUGGAAAAGUAAAAGGCAGCUGUAAGCAGCUAAUUCUCAAGCCUGUUUCCCAGGCAUGUUUCUGUAAACAGCAAGAGUUCUCAAGCCUGUCUUCAAUAACAAGUAAAUACCUUGUCCUUGGAUAAAGUAUGGGAAAGCAAAAGUGACAAACAUGAAGACCUUGAGAACCUUUCAUAUCAGGGUGAGAACACAAAUCUUGGUUUCAAUAACAAACCACAGGUAUUGAAAACAAAAGGAGGGGUUGGUGUUUAAUCUGUAACCAAUGAUGAGCUCGGGUUUUGCAAUAUGUAUGAACUUAAUUAACACAGUUAUAAAAAUGUGCAUGGUUGAUCAAUAAAUCGGAGUUCGAUGCUCAUCAAUCGGAUGGUCGUCUCCCUUCACUUCAUCAGGAAAGCCUUUCUGCCAUGAGCUCAUCUCCCUCUCUGUCUCUGUUCAAAGGGCAAGGAUGAUGUGUUUUAGAAAUUCAUGGAUUUCUUGAAGUGGCUCGAUGCAAUAGCCAUGAAGUUGCUGAAGCAGCAGCAGUGGCUGCCCAGUCCAGAUGUGGCACUGAGAGCACUCCCCUGCAGAUAAGGACAGAUAAGUGAUGGGAGAGGUUUGUGUCCAGAUUUUUAGAAAAAAUCAGAGUGAAGGGGAA
RNAcentral lists this long non-coding RNA (1104 nucleotides) under Zonotrichia albicollis (white-throated sparrow). RNAcentral's name for it is "lncRNA (ENSZALG00000000793.1)". The record is from RNAcentral. Lineage: Eukaryota; Metazoa; Chordata; Aves; Passeriformes; Passerellidae.